CGCUGUGUAUAAAUACUGGAACAAAAGAACUUCCUCAAUGCCCGGUGAAAAGGCAAUAAAUAAACUCACAGCUAAUCAUCGCGAACCAGAAUGAUUAUUUGAUCAGUAGGUUUUUAAUCUGUGUGGUAAUAUUGGUUUUACCAUAUUGGAGACUUUUUUGUAUUUCCCACAAACCAAGGAAUACUUCGUGCAUUCGCGUUUCUCUUCAAAUGAUGGAGUGCCGGAGCCCUGUGUUGAAGCAAAAAAAAAUUAACAAGAAUGGGGAGUUUCUGUCUUUCAAGGUGUGUGUGUGUGUGUGUGUGUGUGUGUGUGUGUGUGUGUGUGUGUGUGUGUGUGUGUGUGUGUGUGUGUGUGUGUAAAAUAUGCUUUUCAGGUGGUGGUGUAGCAGCACAGAAUGGUUUGUGGUGAUACAGAGAUGCAGGCCGUACUGUGCUGCAGCAUCAGUGCCUAGGACUUGCAUCACACUUGUAGGUGUGGGAGUGCGUGUUGUCUUGCUUUAGCAGCAUGUAAAUAUUGGAGUUACACCAUGACAGAUGUCUCCAGUAUGUUCGUGCUGCUGAAGUAAGAAGUCACCAAGCGGCGCAAGAUCUUUGUCCUGACUUCGGUUUAGUAAGCAGCGUUCCUUUGGCUGACUCACCGCUACAAAUGUCCGUUCAUCCAGCAGUCGCACAUCUAGCUUCUUCAGCAGUGAUCACUGAUUAAAGGUAAACACAGAAGAAGAGAGAGGAAAAAGUGAUGUAAUUGAUUUUCUUUGCAAAAUUUCUGUACAUUUUGUAUAUUUGUUUUAGCGUUUGUUUCUGAAAUGUGCUACAAAUUGUUUGUUCUAUAAUGUAUUCUGCUUGGUUUGCCAAAUUAAAAGCUUUCUGAAAAACUUUAGUGUUUACCUAAAGCACUGCUUUAAAUCAUACUUUUGUCACGUGGUCAGAGAUGUUACCGCGAUACUUUGCAUGCAUAUAGCCAAAAGCUUCAUUGCGAGCUGGUGGCUGAUUAAACAGAGCUGAGCUUUCACAGCUGGGUUGCAAUCAAAUUCUUA
Tachysurus fulvidraco (yellow catfish) is the source of this 1033-nucleotide long non-coding RNA. RefSeq lists it as uncharacterized. NCBI's taxonomy places the organism in Eukaryota, Metazoa, Chordata, Actinopteri, Siluriformes, Bagridae. The record is from RefSeq and is a predicted model, not a curated record. The transcript has 2 exons.